CGAGUUGGCCAGACAAUCGCUGCCGUUUGACUUCGGUUAAAUGGGGGAGGAAAGUCCGGGCUCCAAUGAGCAGGGUGCCAGAUAACGUCUGGGGGGCGCAAGCCCACGACAAGUGCAGCAGAGAGAAGACCGCCUAAGUAUCCUAGAUACCGGUAAGGGUGAAAGGGUGCGGUAAGAGCGCACCGGGCCGCUGGUAACAGUUGGCUGCAGGGUAAACUCCACCCGGAGCAAGACCAAAUAGGGUUCUACGAUUCUUCGGAAUUAAUGCGUGGCUCGCGCGAGAACCGGGUAGGUUGCUUGAGCUAUAGAGCGAUUUAUAGCCUAGACGAAUGAUUGUCACUUUUUUCAUUUCGAUGAUUGAAGAACAGAACCCGGCUUAUGCGGCCAACUCACAUA
This 396-nucleotide RNase P RNA is filed under the name Thalassotalea litorea. Its description in RNAcentral is "RNase P RNA component class A". It matches the Rfam family "Bacterial RNase P class A". Rfam says of the family: Ribonuclease P (RNase P) is a ubiquitous endoribonuclease, found in archaea, bacteria and eukarya as well as chloroplasts and mitochondria. Its best characterised activity is the generation of mature 5'-ends of tRNAs by cleaving the 5'-leader elements of precursor-tRNAs. Cellular RNase Ps are ribonucleoproteins. Lineage: Bacteria; Pseudomonadati; Pseudomonadota; Gammaproteobacteria; Alteromonadales; Colwelliaceae. The record is from RNAcentral.